RNAcentral lists this ribosomal RNA (207 nucleotides) under uncultured bacterium. RNAcentral's name for it is "partial 16S ribosomal RNA". It matches the Rfam family "Bacterial small subunit ribosomal RNA", at positions 568 to 774 of the family's 1533-position model. The record is from RNAcentral.
CGCGUAGGCGGUAUGCCAAGUCAGGGGUGAAAGGCCUGGGCUCAACCCAGGAACUGCCUUUGAAACUGGCAAACUAGAGUCCGAAAGAGGAUGGCGGAAUUCCCAGUGUAGAGGUGAAAUUCGUAGAUAUUGGGAAGAACACCAGUGGCGAAGGCGGCCAUCUGGAUCGGAACUGACGCUGAGGCGCGAAAGCGUGGGGAGCAAACA